UCAGUCGACUCCUACGGGGGAGGCAGCAGUGGGGAAUAUUGCACAAUGGGGGAAACCCUGAUGCAGCCAUGCCGCGUGUGUGAAGAAGGCCUUCGGGUUGUAAAGCACUUUCAGUAGGGAGGAAGGUAGUGUAGUUAACACCUGCAUUAUUUGACGUUACCUACAGAAGAAGCACCGGCUAACUCCGUGCCAGCAGCCGCGGUAAUACGGAGGGUGCGAGCGUUAAUCGGAAUUACUGGGCGUAAAGCGCAUGCAGGCGGCCUGUUAAGUCAGAUGUGAAAGACCCGGGGCUUAACCUCGGAAUUGCAUUUGAAACUGGCAGGCUAGAGUCUUGUAGAGGGGGGUAGGAAUUUCAGGUGUAGCGGUGAAAUGCGUAGAGAUCUGAAGGAAUACCAGUGGCGAAGGCGGCCCCCUGGACAAAGACUGACGCUCAGAUGCGAAAGCGUGGGGAGCAAACAGGAUUAGAUACCCUGGUAG
Molecule: ribosomal RNA, 477 nt
Filed under: uncultured bacterium
Lineage: Bacteria
Description: bacterial SSU rRNA
Rfam family: Bacterial small subunit ribosomal RNA
Source: RNAcentral